Molecule: long non-coding RNA, 1886 nt
Organism: Heterocephalus glaber (naked mole-rat)
Lineage: Eukaryota; Metazoa; Chordata; Mammalia; Rodentia; Bathyergidae
Source: Ensembl
AUUUUAAAAGAAAAAACACUUUUUUGGGGUUGGAAGUCCAGGUCAGGGUGGCAGCCGGCGGGCUCUGGUGCGGGUCCCCUGGGAGUCAGGUGGCCUCCCUGUCCCACCUGCCCACAGGGACAACGGAAUAAUUAUUGCCGUGUUCCCAGGUUCCCAUGCAGGCUCCAGUGAUAGGAAAGGUUCACUGGGGCUCAUCUCGGGCCCUUCAGUCCUUAGAUGCAGGAGGCAGGAGUCCGCUGACAGCAACCCUAGGGGAGCUGGUCACCUGGCUGGAAGAGGGGAAGGCUGGGGCCUAAUAUCCCCUCCUGGCCACGCCCCAUGUGACCUCACUUCCUCCCUAAGCCCCGCCUCUCUAAGGUCAGGCACCUCUGCAGCACUCCACAGGUUUUGGCCUCAGUCACAUGGGGGUUGUUUUUUUUUUGUACCGGGGCUCGAACUCAGGUCCUUGCGCUUGCGCAGCAGGCGGCAAAACCACUGAGCUACAUCCCCGGCCCCUACGCUCCACGCGUUUGAACAUGGGAACCUUUAUCCAAACCCUGGCGCCUCCCACAGGCCCUGGCUCCUCAUACCGUGAUGCUGGGGUUAAGAUUUAAAGGUGUGAGUUUUAGGGGCUCACAGUCGUGAAGUGGGUGCCUGAGUGCGCGUCUGCACUGUGCACAAAGGGCUCGAUGAUGCCGCUGGGAUCUCCCACUGCCUACCAGUUCCCCGGCAGGCCUCCUGGGUCACAGCUGCCCUGCCCUGGGCACAGUCCCUGCGUGACCACGGCAGAGGGAACAGACGCGCUGCGACCCGAGUGGCUGCUAAUCGUGGACUCUCCCACCGUUACCUUUCGCCCCAGCAUUUCACCUUCAGCCCUGAAGAGCGGGGCUGGAAUCCCCCCAGAGCUCGGGGACCUGGGUCCUGGGUCCCUGGGCACUUGGGGCUCCCCCGUGACAGGGCCUCCCUGCCUCUCCUGGGCCAGGUGGCAUGUGGCCCAGUGCCAGGCGCUGGCUUGGAAAGUGUACACCCCGCUUCCCUCCACAGUUCUGCAGUGGAAGAGGGAGAGAGACAGAAUCCCGCUGCCCGAAGCCAGCACCUGAUUGACGGGCUGUGUCUCUGCAGGACUGGGAGAAGCACUUGCUGGACGCUGCGGGCAGCAAGCCCGGCGACUGGCACAGUGAGCUAGACGGGGACUGGCCGGGGCCCAUGCUGCAGAAGCCGCUCUACCAGGCUGGCCUGAAACCGGAGAGAAUCAGCCAAGACCCCUGGCUGCCUGAGAAGAUGACAGGCACCGGCUACCUGACGCAGUACGACCUCUCGGAAUUCCAGAGCAUCAGCGCCAUCGGGCUGGAGCUGUGGCAGGGCCCGGAGAAGGAGAUGGAUGACAUCCUGAUCAAGGAGGAGGUGACCAGAGCCCGCGAGGAGGAGGAGGAGGAGCUGCCGGCGGGCAGGUUCCACGGGGCUCAGGGGCCCUUCCCUGAGUUUCAGAGGCAGAACGAGCUGUAGUUCUCCCUGCUGCGGAGGGCAGAGGUGACUGGUAAAACCUCCCUUCUACUUUAAUCCACAUUUCAAAACUCAGCCUCUGUGUGCUCAUUUGCCCAGUGCCCUUGAAAAAUGUCCCCAGGGGCCUGGCGUGGUGGUGCACGCCUAUGACCUCAGCACUGUGGAGGCUGCGGCAGGAGGAUCGCCUUGAGUUCCGGGCCAGCCUGGGUUACACAGUGAGUUUGAGUUUAAGGCAGCCUGAACUAUACGGGGAGACCCUGUCUCACUGUCCUGCCCCCCCCCCCCGCAAAAGAAAAGAAAAGAAAACCGUCCCCAGGCUCCUUAGUGGGGUGGGUUGCAUGUCUCCCCAAGACACCUACACUGGAAGGUUCCCUCCACGGAUCUGCACAGCAAAGACACAGCGC